This 6161-nucleotide long non-coding RNA is filed under the name Hordeum vulgare. Its description in RNAcentral is "long non-coding RNA (HVUL_LNC003341)". The record is from RNAcentral. Lineage: Eukaryota; Viridiplantae; Streptophyta; Magnoliopsida; Poales; Poaceae.
GAGACGCCAAAGGAGCCUGAAGUGCCACACCCCGUGGUGCCGGAGACGCCAAAGGAGCCUGAAGUGUCACACCCCGUUGUGCCGGAGGUACCAAAGCAUGAGCUGCCGCCACACCCUGCUAUGCCCGAGCUCCCGAAGCCUGAAUUACCUCAUCCAGCUGUGCCCGAGGUGCCACACCCCAUUGUGCCGGAGACGCCAAAGGAGCCUGAAGUGCCACACCCCAUGGUGCCGGAGGUGCCAAAGCAUGAGCUGCCGCCGCACCCUGCUAUGCCCGAGCUCCCGAAGCCUGAAUUGCCUCAUCCAGCUGUGCCCGAGGUGCCAAAGGAGCACGAACUGCCGCACCCUAUCGCGCCAGAGGUGCCAAAGGAGCCUGAAGUGCCACACCCCGUUGUGCCGGAGGUACCAAAGGAGCACGAGCUGCCGCACCCUGCCAUGCCAGAGUUGCCGAAGCCUGAAAUGCCACACCAUGUCGUGCCAGAGAUACAAAAGGAGCCCCCUGUGUCGCACCCUGAGGUGCCGAAAGAACCCCAGGUACCACACCCUGCCGUGCCAGAGGUCCCAAAGCACGAAAUGCCGCCGUUCCCUAUAUCCGAGCUGCCCCCAAAGCCAGAGGCCAAGCCAUGAUCGGACUAGGUACAUCCGCGUUGUGUGUGUGGGUGUAUGGGUGUCUGUGAUUGUUGUAGUAUACACUGUGGUGUUGCAUGGUGCACCUGCUCAAUCUUUUCCCUUCUUCCCUUUACGUGUAUACACGAUGAAUAUGAUAUAUAUGUACAUGUGAAUGUGUAUGUUCUCGUGUUUGGAGUUUAUUUAUAUUGGAUCAGAUUUGUGUUUGGAUUUACCUAAUACAUAUGCGCAUCAAUAAAGGAGUUUAUUUUAUAUUCGUUUGGAUUUGUGUUUGGAUUUUACAUAUGUACAGUCUUAUAUUUUGGCUAUAUUAUGCACCCAGUAAAAGUCUCAUUUUUUUGCUGACAAAAUUUUCUUUUUUUGGGGGGGGGGGUUGUACAGAGAAGGCAUGAAAGACCAGGUUUCAUGUGAAGCAUAAUAAGAUAACAGUGAAUUUCAGUUUUACCCCCUAUUUUAACAGUUUUGACACUAAUUAUCUCACUUAAUGAGAUUUCAUUCUUUUACCCCAUUUAGCAAAAGUUCUGUCACGAUUUACCCUGUUUAAAACUUUGGGUUUGUUUAUUUGUGCUUCCUUAGGCAUGACUUUGAUUUUUAUGACUUUUUAAAAUAGGCUUUCGUGUCGUUUUAUAAAUAAAGCAACCAGUGCACGGCGAGAAGUACCACAUCAAACGUCAAAGUAUGUUGGGGCCACAACACAAGCACGUCCAAAUAUAACAAAAAAAGAUAUCAUAAAAAGGGCCACCAAGUGGUCAAAGCAUCCUGGAGGUGCCGGAGCAGCAAGUCGACGUGUCGUACCCUGAAGUGCAACCAACAUCCGGCCUAGCCGUGCCUGAUUCCUCUGCAUAGUCAAUGGGUGUGAGUGCUCCAAGAACGCAAAAUUUUUGAAGAAAACCUAAAAAGCGCGUCAUAGGAAAAGAUCCUCUCAAUCACCACCUUAUUUCGCAUGUUCCAAAAAGUCCAUGCCGGAUCAACAAAAAUCAGCCAGAAGAGGCGUUUAUGGCUGCCAGGCUACAUCGCUCUGGCCUGAAGGAAGUCGGCUAAAAUAUGUCGCCCACUGUGGCCCUAGGGCCUCGCGAAGAAAACCCCAUAGUGACUUAGCCCUCGUGCAGAAGAAGAGGGUGUGAAUCCCGUUUUCCAAGACAUCAUACAAGUGGCAUAGCCCAUUACCCGGGUCAUGUCUCUUGAGCACCUUUGUUCCUGACGGGAGGCGAUCCCGCAAAAGUUGCCAAACGAAAAAAUUCAUUUUCAAAGGUAGAGGCACCUUUCAGAGAGGCGUCAUCCAUCGGAUACGAGGCUCCGACAUAGUGCAUGAUAAGCCGUGACCAUGAAGAAACCUCCCGAUGGAGAGAGUAGCCACCGUGUCUGAUCUAGGCCACUGCACAUCGGAGGAGGAAGAACGGCCAAUAGAUUAGACCACUCAAGAACCUCAGCAUGGCCUAGUGAGCAUCAGAACAGGAUGUUCCAUUGUCCAUCUUGGACUGAUUCUAAAACCCGGAGCAAAGAGUCCACACACAUAGCAAAUAACUGAAGGAACCCAUGCACAAUGGGGUUCCAUCAACCCAUAGAACAGGGGUCAAGUGUAUGCUCAUUUAAUUGAUUGAUCCAUCAACCCAUGGUUUUUUUAACUUUGCUAUUUGCCGGCAAAAAAAGGAUUACGUCCGUUGAUGUUAGUUGUGUGCAUUCUAACUAUAUUAAAGCCAGAUGUAUGCUCAUUUAAUUGUAUUCGCUUCAUGUUUCAUUUUAAAUAAUAAAAUCCACAUUUUGCUGAGAAAAAAAAACUAAGUCAAUAAUAACUUCGUCAUAGGUGAUGUGUCUUUGACAUGCAAGUCUUCACUACAUCGUACCCCCAAGAAAAGGACACGACACGGCGUUGCGUACGGCACCAACCAGCUUAAUCUGCUGAUUGUGAUAUACUAAAGGAAAAUGGUUUGUUGAUCUGUUGUCAGUAUCUUUCCCACCUAACAUGCAGCAAGUCGUUUUCUGCUCAACUUGCAACCGAGCAACCGCCUUACAGAUAGACACGUCGUCCCACACUUCUCUCACUGUGUCUGCGCUGGUGUUGCUGGCAAGUGACAAGAGACCCCUGAAUCGAACUUCCUCCACCGUGCUGGCGAUCGACCUAACACCGGUACGACGCCUACGGAAACCGCGUGCCGGCCUGCGGCCGGUGACCAGCUGCAUGACACCACGCAUCGGCCGGACGAUCGACGUUCCUACGCGACCGCGUGGGCGCGCGCGCGAUUCAUCCACCAGCCUUUACGGGUGCCCGACCUGCUUCCAUCAGGGGAUGAACUGCUAGCAGGCUCUCGCCGAAUCUCACGCAACCGAUCAUUAAAGGAUAGCGAAAACGACCGGGGCUAGCUAGCUGCAGUUGAACUGCCGAUCAUUAGCAAUUGACACCCAGAAGCAACAGGUGUAACAUUUUUGGUGCGCCAGUGACCUGUCACCGCGGUACGGCGACGGACGCUCAUACGCGAACGCGUGCGCGCGCAAUUCGUCAACUCUGACUCAUGUAUGGCAUCUUCAGCAGAUCAGCCGGAUCGACGAGAUAGGUGCACCUGAGCUGCCGAAACCACCGACCUAUACCUAUUACCAUUUGUACUAUUAAAAGAACGAGAGGACAAAUUCAACUACAGAUCUGGACCGUCUGAUUACACCAUCAAAGACCUAAAAACGUCAUUAACAAAACUAGAUAGCUUUCGUUAAUGCUAAUUGCUCACCCCACGUCGUCUCCCGGUCAAUCGCCCCGCUCGCCCGCCUCGCCCAGGUUGCCCGCCCCCGCCCGCAUUGCUCGCUCGUCCAGCCUCUCCGAUUGCGCUCAUCCGCGCUCCAUCAAACCCAGUCAACCAAAUGGCGGCGGCCGGGCUCGCGCUCUCCCNNNNNNNNNNNNNNNNNNNNNNNNNNNNNNNNNNNNNNNNNNNNNNNNNNNNNNNNNNNNNNNNNNNNNNNNNNNNNNNNNNNNNNNNNNNNNNNNNNNNNNNNNNNNNNNNNNNNNNNNNNNNNNNNNNNNNNNNNNNNNNNNNNNNNNNNNNNNNNNNNNNNNNNNNNNNNNNNNNNNNNNNNNNNNNNNNNNNNNNNNNNNNNNNNNNNNNNNNNNNNNNNNNNNNNNNNNNNNNNNNNNNNNNNNNNNNNNNNNNNNNNNNNNNNNNNNNNNNNNNNNNNNNNCCACCUCACGCCGAUGCUGGCCUACCGCUGCCUCGUCCGGGAGGACGACCGCGAGGCGCCCAGCUUCCUCUUCGAGUCCGUCGAGCAGGCAUCCGAGGGCACCAACGUGGUUCGUCCCUGCCUUUGCCCGUACAGCCUCACGAUUCGCUGAUUCGUUAUCCGUUCAUAUCCUCCCCAAGACGAAAUCAGAAUCAUUUGAAUUUGUCCCGUGCCGGGUUGUUGGUUGGUCUGCAAUCUACAGGGGAGGUACAGCGUGUUGGUGGCGCAGCCGGCAAUGGAGAUCGUGGCCAAGGCCAACCGCGUGACGGUCAUGGACCACGAGACGAGGACCAAGAAGGAGCAAAACCGCGAUUUGUUGAUUCUUCACUGUCAAUGAAUAUCAUAUGUCAUCCUUGCAUUCAAUUGGUAAGUUUUGUUGUCAGUUUUUUUUUGCAGAUCAAUAUGGCAUUUCCUUUUGUCAGUCUUCAUAGUUUCUCAAGAUAGUUACCAUUGAAGUUUGACAAUCGCAUCUUCUCAUUUUUUUUGGAUGAUACUUGAUUUUUUUAAUAGUUCUUCGCUUAAUUUUGUUGAUACGGAAACAAUUCUUAUCUGAAUGCUACUUUGUUUAUAUGUGUACGCAGAAUUAACAUGUACCUUUUAAAUGGUCCAUUAUCCCACUAGGGGAAUCUAAUUUCUGACUGGAUUAUAUUGUAAUACUAAUAUAAUUAAAAAAUCAAAUGGUUGUAUAUUUGACCCGACUUUCAUUGUUCGAAGCUAGCCUGGAGAAUUUGCUCACAUACUGAAAUUUAUUUACAAUGCUUUAUAAUUGUUUGGGCACUACGCAUUGGGGAAGUGUGCAUUUCGAUAAGAGAUUAUAUAAUUGAUGCAAAGAUGUGUGAUAUUUGUUUUAAAAGGAAUGUUUAUUUAUGAAGAGUGAUGUUUCAAAUUAUUUGCACGAGGAAAAAAUUAGGUACUAUGCACUUCGUGUGAAAGUUCAAGAAAUGAAUGAUAUAGUUGGCUAGAAUUUGUUAGGUUUUAUAUAAGAUGUGUUAACAAGACGUGCGUUGUACGUACACUUUACUAGUCAUCCAAAAAGCACUUGCCUUCAGGUUCGCUGUAGGUUGUGUAGCAUGCAUUCAUACGAGUACAUUUUGCACGACAGGUUUUGGUACAAUCUUGGAGCCUUCUUGUAUAGCACAGUCAACAAACAAUUAGAACCUGAAAUGUUGAUUGGUUCCAGUCCGUCAGAUAGUCUGAUCUAGCAGUAUCAUAUGUUGUUCUUGUACACUAUAUUUCUUAUUCCUUUGUUCUUUUUGGGCCCUAAUUUUCUCCUCUCUUUCAUGUACAUAUUGCAACGAUUGUUACACAACUUAUGAAAAAUACUCCGUGAGAAGAAAUUCCUACAGGUUUGGGUAAAAAAUUAGAGAAAUGUAUCACCGACCAUAUCAUGUCAUGACACUUGUCUCCUCAACAUUCCAAACAAAUUUAACCACACAUAACUAGAGAUGGAUAGGCAGAGAUCGAGCACACACAAAUCCAAAGUGAGUAAACAACCACCGAGAUGCAGGUGACCUACCACGCCACCAAGACAACAAAGUUCAGCCACAUCACUACUAUAGUUUCUACCGCAAACAUAUGCAUGCAUGUUUUCCCGCUGCAUGUAGGUGUAGCGUUUUGGACUAUAUAUACCAGCCUUCUCGUAUCUCCAAGACAUCACAGCAAGAAGUUGCCUCUCUCUGAUCGAUGCACAUAAACAAGAACAUCAUGCUGCGCAACAACGCCAUGGCCUCCUUUGUCUUCCUCGUGGCUCUGCUGCUCUCAUGCAGCUCCAUGAGCAGUGCAGCACGACACCUAGAGGAGGCUGUGCCCGAGAAGGAGUAUCCACCACAUCCGAUCGUCCCGGAGCUGCCAAAGCCCGAACUCCCGCCGCACCCCGUCAUGCCCGAGCUGCCAAAGCCUGAACUACCUCACCCUCUCGUGCCCGAAGUGCCACACCCUGUGAUGCCGGAAGCGCCAAAGGAGCCCGAAGUGCCACACCCCGUGGUGCCGGAGACGCCAAAGGAUGAGCUGCCGCCACACCCUGCUAUGCCCGAGCUCCCGAAGCCUGAACUACCGCAUUUGGCUGUGCCCAAGGUGCCGGAGACGCCAAAGGAGCCUGAAGUGCCACACCCCAUGGCGCCGGAGGUGCCAAAGCAUGAGCUGCCGCCGCACCCUGCUAUGCCCGAGCCCCCGAAGCCUGAAUUACCUCAUCCAGCUGUGCCCGAGGUGCCAAAGGAACACGAUUUACCACACCAUGUCGUGCCGGAGGUGCCAAAGGAGCCUGAAGUGCCACACCCCGUCAUGCCGGAGGUACCAAAGGAGCACGAGCUGCCGCACCCUGCCAUGCCAGAGUU